GACGAACGCGGGCGGCGUGCCUAAUACAUGCAAGUCGAACGCACGAAGUUGAAGAGCUUGCUCUUUAACCAAGUGAGUGGCGGACGGGUGAGUAACACGUGGGUAACCUGCCCAUUAGAGGGGGAUAACAUUCGGAAACGGAUGCUAAUACCGCAUAGUUUCAGGAAUCGCAUGAUUCUUGAAGGAAAGGUGGCUUCGGCUACCACUAAUGGAUGGACCCGCGGCGUAUUAGCUAGUUGGUGAGGUAAUGGCUCACCAAGGCAAUGAUACGUAGCCGACCUGAGAGGGUGAUCGGCCACACUGGGACUGAGACACGGCCCAGACUCCUACGGGAGGCAGCAGUAGGGAAUCUUCCGCAAUGGACGAAAGUCUGACGGAGCAACGCCGCGUGAGUGAAGAAGGUUUUCGGAUCGUAAAACUCUGUUGUUAAAGAAGAACAAGGAUGAGAGUAACUGCUCAUCCCCUGACGGUAUUUAACCAGAAAGCCACGGCUAACUACGUGCCAGCAGCCGCGGUAAUACGUAGGUGGCAAGCGUUGUCCGGAUUUAUUGGGCGUAAAGCGAGCGCAGGCGGUUCUUUAAGUCUGAUGUGAAAGCCCCCGGCUCAACCGGGGAGGGUCAUUGGAAACUGGAGAACUUGAGUGCAGAAGAGGAGAGUGGAAUUCCACGUGUAGCGGUGAAAUGCGUAGAUAUGUGGAGGAACACCAGUGGCGAAGGCGACUCUCUGGUCUGUAACCGACGCUGAGGCUCGAAAGCGUGGGGAGCAAACAGG
RNAcentral lists this ribosomal RNA (771 nucleotides) under uncultured Vagococcus sp. RNAcentral describes it as "bacterial SSU rRNA". It matches the Rfam family "Bacterial small subunit ribosomal RNA", at positions 28 to 776 of the family's 1533-position model. The record is from RNAcentral. Lineage: Bacteria; Bacillati; Bacillota; Bacilli; Lactobacillales; Enterococcaceae.